This 253-nucleotide ribosomal RNA is filed under the name uncultured bacterium. RNAcentral describes it as "partial 16S ribosomal RNA". It matches the Rfam family "Bacterial small subunit ribosomal RNA", at positions 524 to 776 of the family's 1533-position model. The record is from RNAcentral.
GACAGAGGUGCCGAGCGUUAGGCGGAAUCACUGGGCUUAAAGCGUGUGUAGGCGGAUCGUUAAGUGUCUUGUGAAAUCCCACGGCUCACCCGUGGAACUGCUGGGCAUACUGGCGAUCUUGGGCCAACUAGGGGCAGUCGGAACAAGCGGUGGAGCGGUGAAAUGCGUAGAUAUCGCUUGGAACGCCGAAGGUGAAAACAGACUGCUGGGGUUGCGCCGACGCUGAGACACGAAAGCCAGGGGAGCAAACGGG